This is a long non-coding RNA of Mauremys reevesii (Reeves's turtle), 888 nucleotides long. RefSeq lists it as uncharacterized. The record is from RefSeq and is a predicted model, not a curated record. The transcript is spliced from 4 exons. NCBI's taxonomy places the organism in Eukaryota, Metazoa, Chordata, Testudines, Geoemydidae.
GUGUUCUUGGUUUCCUAAGCAACCAUAAAGGAUAUGCCUAGGAGUAAUUUCUUCACAUAAUUUGGCACACACCAGUGUGACUUCAAAAUUACAUAAUCCAAUGUGAGACUUCAUGAGGGAAACAGCUUGGUUUUUUAUUACAAGCCCUAACUGGUUUGUCUUCAGUGUCAGUACUUUAUUCAGUGAAGAGUUCAGGACAAGAUCAAGAAUGGGGAGAUCAUUUCACAUCUACUUCGCUGGUUUGAAUCCAAUGCAGGACAGAAACAUCUUCAGUGGAAUUGCCUUUCCUAUUUUCUGAUAUGAAAACAAAUGAUAAAGAACUUACGCUAGAGGCACUAAGGAUACAGAGGAGCACCCACAGGAUAAGACUAGGAGGAGGAGCCAACAGAAAGAAGAAUGGAAGAUGUCUCAGACACACUGAGAAAAUGUCAGCAGCUGGAAGAAGAGGGGUUCUAGAAAAGAUUAGGCGGAACAUACCAGUGUCCAAAUGAGAGAAAGAUAAAGCAAAAAGCAGAUUAGCAUACAGAAAGGAAAAAGAAGAGACUUGGUGGAAAGAACAUAAAUUCGUAGAAUGAAUACACCCUGUUAUGGGGCUAGUAUUGUUUUAGGAGCUUAGCUUGUGUGUGUGUUUGUACAGCACCUAGCACAACAGGGCCUAACUUGGUGGCAGUGUUUAGGUGAUGGGGUGUACCAACCCCAUACAGGGCUGAAAGGGUUGAGAGCCUGUAGGCACAAUCAUCCUCACCCCACUACACCUGGUAUCAAGCCAGAAGGAAGGAGUUAAAAGGGCUGAACAUGGCUCAGUUAAGGACUGACCUGGAGCUCUCACUCAGUAGAGAAGACUCGCUAGAGUCAGAGAGCUGAGCUGGGCUGCUGGCAGACAGAAGG